Molecule: unclassified non-coding RNA, 1378 nt
Filed under: Anneissia japonica
Lineage: Eukaryota; Metazoa; Echinodermata; Crinoidea; Comatulida; Comatulidae
Description: low-density lipoprotein receptor-related protein 2- like, transcript variant X1
Source: RNAcentral
UGCAUCCGUUACCAUGGAAACCAUCCUCACAUGGAUAUUGACAAAAGUCCCCCCACCAGCCUGGUGCACACUGACACAAACUCAAGGUCGGAUUGCAUUUAGCACCGUUACGACAAGGACAUUCUAUAAUAUGAAAAGUCACAAACAUUUUACUUACUAAGGUCACAAUCAAAUUUCCUCCUCGAGCACUCCGUUUCACAGGCAUUGUACAAAGACCAACCGAAUAAGGAAAUGACGUCAUACCUGGAUUGGAAAUUGGUUUUUAGAAGAUAUAAAGUCAACGAAUAUGUUUUAAACAAACAAAUGCAAGCUUGUGCGAUCCAGGGGAGUUCUUCUGUAAGACAGCAGAAACUUACGAAUGCGUCGACUGGCAUCAAGUAUGCGAUAGAGUACAACAUUGUCGAGACGGCUCAGACGAAGCUGACUGUGGAAUAAAUGCUUGGGUAUACAUGGUUUUCUUUAUUGUUGUCGGCACCUUCGUCAUCGGCGGAUUAGCAUCGUGCUAUGCCCACUUUUCCUCCACCGAAACACCCACUGGGCAUCCUCGUAGACGUCACCGUAACGCAAACGGCCACGAUGACGUAUCAAGAGGGAACGUUCACUCUAUUGAAUCCCAUUCAGUUGUCUACUUUAAAGAUCCACCACCCCCAUACGACAUAGCUAUUUCCAUGGUGAAGAAUCCACCUAAUUAUGAAGAUUUACAGUUUUCUAUAUCAUCGCCAAUUUGAAACAUGAAAUAUUUAUGAUUUUUUUUUUGUAUAAAAAAAUAUAGGCCUACCUAUAGUAUCUGGAAAUUUUACUUUGCCAGGACACUAUUUUAGUGAACAGUCCCCUAAUAAAGCAGAUAUAGGCGUAUUUGCUUUCACUUGGAUAUGUUAUAAGCCCUAACAUCUAAAAAAGGUCAUUACGGUGCCUAUGUGUUUUUAACGUUUAAUAUAGUCUGCAGAAAUGUAAAUAUCCAUCUUUGACUGGCUAUGAUGCAGCGGUAGCCUAUCUGUCCAGACGCAAUUUUACAGACGAAUCGAUGUCGAUUCAGCUUUAAAUUACCGUAUUUGUCAUCAGUUGAUUGUUUUCUCAUUUUAAGAAAGACUUAAAUACGUCGCCAAAUAUUAAUAUUUAAUUAAUUUAUAUUUAACUUGAUUCUGUUGUUGUUUCUUUGUUUGUACUUUUUCUUCUGUAAUUUGUCAAAGGACCAACCGAGACAAGCUUGCUUCUAGAUUGGUCCUCAUCUAUGCCUUGUUUUAUGUGUAUGUAUAUGGCAAUGGUGAAACAAAGCUUUGAUAAUUUGAUUUGUUUUGAACAGUUAUGUAGUUGGUCGAACUAGAUUCAUAUAAAAUGAGAGUAAAUAAAGGCUGUAUGCUGCCAUGGACACCUCAAA